AGGCACCUGAGUGUAACCCCGGCUGCUGGCACUGAACGCACACAAGCAACACAUUUGGAGGGGCUGGCUUCAGAGUUCAGCGCUCAAACCAUUUAGCUGAGCACGCACAAAGCAUUACCUUGGUGACAGCCCAUGAAAAAUGUUCUUCUGUGCAGACACUGAGCAGAGAGGUGACAUCCUCAGUAUCUUCCCUUGGCUUGUUUUGGCUCCCUGUUGAAAACUGGAGUAGUAGGGGUGAAACAGCAGUGUUCCCUGAUGGACAUUUCUUUCCCCUGCAGGUGGCUUCCUCCUAACAGCUGCAGCAGCGCAUCUGGGAAUAAGCUUGCAGUGGAAUGUGGUGGCCCCAUAAAGUGCUGCAAGAAGAGAAUCAUUUGAAGUUAAGAUGUAAGCUAGUUUGGGGCCUCUGCAAAGCAGCCUAACAGAUAUUGAACUCAGCUCUAAUUGCUUCUGUUAACCACCUAGUGAAGCCAUUGCACAUUAACCGUUUUCAAUUACGACAGCUAUGAGAAAAGAUCCACAUACAAAUGCAAGCUGGCCUGCUGGUAAUCUGCAAUCCCAUGGCAUCUGCUUUCAAGGGCGGUCAGUAAAUCUUUUUAAUUCUUUUCCCUGCUUUAUAAUAAUGGCUAGUUUUUGUUGGUACCAAGUGCUCGUUACACCAACCAGGUGUGUGCAAAAGCAGCAGUUGUGUUACAUGUGGAUGUGUCCCAUCUGUGUGCUCCGGAACUGCAUCUCUGAUUGCUCGCUCUUACUUCAGAGCCUCAGACCGAAAAUCCUAUAUUAACCUGUUUUGUACAGAUUUUAAUUUUUAGUGGAUCAGGGAAAUCCAGUUUCAAACAGUUCAAACAACAUUUGAAUAUUUUUCAAUAUAGUCUUUUCUCUUUUGUUCAACAAAAGAUACUUGGCAUGAAUUCAUAGUCAUAGGACUCCUGGAAGCAUAUUUUGGGGCAAACAAUAUUCAGAUGAAGGAGUAGCUUGUUUCUAACAGAAGUAAACUGCUAUGUUACACUUGUUAGGAUGCAUUUGUAUGCUGUUUGCUUCUGGGGAUCUGAAAUUUCAUGGGAAUGCAGUGAGAAUGAUUAAAAAUUAAACUUUGUAACUGCUUUAUAUGUUUGGCAUUAAUAUCAUCUUUCAUUGUUUUCUAAUAGUGAUAAUUAGGUGUUGCAUUACUCUAGGGUAAGCCUUGUAGCACCCCUGGGAAGGCUUUUAUGCACAAUAUAAAUACUACUGUGCACAUAAAACUAAAUUUUGUUGAGAAACAUCCUCCGUUGGCUUUGCUUUCUUAAUGUUUGCUUUCACCCUUUUCCUCCAGACCCAGAAGAUUCUUUUAGAAUUUCCCUUUAUCAGCUUCUUUUUAUUCCUUCUCCACCUGAGCUGCCAUUUAUCUCAGACCUUUCAUUCUGCACCAGUGUCAUCCUCACCACAUGGGUGGACUUAACCAAGCAGUUAAUGCUAUUACAGUGCUGGAUCCUCCUGUACUGGGCUGUUAGUGCACAUCAGCAUCAGCAGGGACGGGAGUCUGACAAGCACGUGGGAACUGUCACAUAGGGACCAAUGUCUGUUGGUCUGUAACUGAUAUGCUCUCAGUGUCCUGUUAGAAUAAAUGACUGUAGAGGCAAUCUCUCCCCA
This 1626-nucleotide long non-coding RNA is filed under the name Anas platyrhynchos platyrhynchos (common mallard). RNAcentral's name for it is "lncRNA (ENSAPLG00000019892.1)". The record is from RNAcentral. Lineage: Eukaryota; Metazoa; Chordata; Aves; Anseriformes; Anatidae.